Molecule: long non-coding RNA, 4968 nt
Organism: Meriones unguiculatus (Mongolian gerbil)
Lineage: Eukaryota; Metazoa; Chordata; Mammalia; Rodentia; Muridae
Exons: 9
Source: RefSeq, a predicted model, not a curated record
UCGUCUCUCUGUGGCUCCUAGGACGUCACUCGGCCUCUGUCCCCCUGAUGAUCCCCCUGCCAGCGCUCCAGCGCGGGGCCGGAGACCCCCUCUCUGGGUGGCAGAUAUCGCGGCUCGCGCCUGCUGCUUGCAAGUGAGAUCUAUUGUUACCACGGAGAAGAGAACCUCACUUGAAGAACUGCUCCUAUCACACUGGCCAGUGGCAAUGCCUGUGGGGUGCUUCCCUAAUGGCUAAUGGAUGCAGGAGGGCCCAGCCACCAUGGGCAGUGCCAUCCCCAGGUCCUGUUCCCGAUCCUUCCACGGCUCCUCUCGGUGAUGGAGAGCAAACUGCCAUGGAGCACACACAGGGAUGCACCUCCAAAAACCAAUCGCAACAACAUUGGAAAUACGAGAGGACAAAAACAAAAACGAAAACGAAAACACCCAAAACCAAACAAACGAAGCUGACUGGGGGAACCCAGUCUUGGAACAAAUAAACUCAAGACUGACUUCAGCCAUCCUCCCAGUCCCUUCCUGCCUUCUCAGGCACCUCCACUCCUUUACAGCCUUUGGUGUUGCUACUGCUAGAGCACCGUGCUCAGUCAUCAGUGAAGAAGGUGCUGUUCAUACCAGUGGGAAGCAGAAGCAAGAGUACUCGGAUGGCACUGAGUGGCGUGGCCAUAGCACUGCGCAAUUCUGCAUCACACAAGCGGAAACGGACGCCCCUUCAAACCUCUUUCAUUUGGAGAAAGUUGUGGUUUAGUACUGUGUCUCCUCUAGGCCCGACACCUGCAAACAUCUAUCCUUUUAUUUAUUUUUCACGUGUCUGUGUCUGGUGGGCACAGGGACAGAAGCCACUCCAGCUGCCCUGAAUGUGGCCAUGCCUUUUCCACCACGAUGACCCAAGUCCCUUAAAAAAGGAGCCCAAAGAAAUCCUUCCUUCCUGAAGUGUCCUCUGGUCACAAGGACAAGAAAAGCAAGAAACACGGGUGAUAUGGACAUUUCCAGAAUGGAAAAGUUACUGAGCGUAUACACAUACUCAGCAUCUGGGAAACAUCUCUCAAGAGUAAAGUCUUUCGCUCACCAAGAUCCCUCAUCAAGUACUAUCUUGUGAAAACAUCAGGCACUGCUGGGCCACUGACGAGGCCAAGCAAUCCAGCUUAAAGACUUGCCUCUGUGGAGACAGAAGACCCUUCCCUCCUCUCUGUACUUGCACUGCUGCGGAGAAGCACGCUUUCGUACUGCAACUCCAGCUUUUGAAAAAGAUUAAGGCGUGCACUCUGACUCUUAUAUGGAAGUCCUCACGCACGAGAGCGCCUGGCUUAUCUACGCUAGGUCCACUCCGAGUCACAUCGAGAGAUAAACUCACUUUAGCUACGUUUCCAAUCUGCAAACAUAAAUCCCAGAAGGUGGGAGGCCCAUGAAGAAUGGCCCCAGCUGACAGAGCGUCAGUUCAAGCCAGUGGAGGAGGACUGGCCUGUGGACCCCACUCGUUUGUCCAUCGAGAAAGUGUCUUCAUUAUCCAGGAGUGUUCAUCAGGCCAGGCUGCCUGCUGAGGACACAGCAUGAGGCAGGAACCUGCCUGGGCUCUGAGGAGCCUGACAAUUAAACACAGGACAGGCUGGUGAUAAGAGUGAUCCCAUAACCAUGGUGACAGUCACGAGUGACAGGCACAUGGUGACAAGUGCCAUUUCCAUCUCUGUAGCAUAAAAAUACACUCGGCUUUAGAGGCAAUUGAUCAGGCUCAGGGCUACUGUGGCCUCCAUUCUAUAUUUGAGGAAACUGAGUCACAGAAAGAUUGAGUGACAUCACCAAGCUAACAGAGAGAACAAAUGUGGAAGCCUGAGUUCACUGGGCUGGGAGUGUAUCUGUUGUCAGAAUGCUUGUCUGCCACGUGGGUGGCCCUGGCUUCCAUCCCUAACACCAUAUAAAGCAGGUGGUGGCACAGGCUUGGAAUCCCAGCACUCAGGAGGUGGAGGCAGGCAGGUCACAGUUAUCCUGGGCCACGUAAGGCUAGCCUAGUCUUCCUGAGACCUUGUAUUAAAAAAAAAAAAAAAAUAGAAGCAGCCUGGAUUCAAACCCUCCUGGUGUGUGAGCUCUUGGGUCCCCACAAGCUUUUUGUCACCAAAAGCACUGUUUCUCUGUUGGUGUUCUCCAGCACAAGAGUUAUCCGAGGCCUUUGAACACACCCCCGGAAGCAAACCCAGGGCAAUUGUUUUGUUUAGUGCACCUGCGUUGGGGUCAGGAAACACCGAUCCCAGCUCCCUGGUGUCGCUGACCCUCCAGGUCAGAAGGAUGCACUUGGUAGUUUUGGGGUGAGGGCGCAUAAGGGAUGAAUUUAUUCCAUGGGUACACUUGGGGACUCUGGGGACCUGGGGCUGUCAUGCCUUCACAGGCCGCACUGAUGGUUUCUACUGGGCCACAUAGAGCCUGGCCUGCUCACAUGCCAGGGGGCUAAGGUGAGGGUGCCAGCACUGAGUUCCAGCCUGCCCAGCAGGAUGUGCACAAAAGACAGCAGGCUCCGCUUUGAGCUUGACCUGGUAGUUCAAGUAUUUAGCAGCAUCUGCUCAGGAAGCUGAGGCAGGGGGAUUGGAAGUUCAAGGCCUGUUUGGCCUACAGAUCAAGCUCUAGGCCUGAUGGAGCGAUUUAGUGGGACUCUGUCUCAAGAUAAAACGUGAAAAAUGGCUGGGGAGGCUGUUCGGUGGUAGUCGCUUGCCGAACACGUUGGAGGCACUGGGUUCAAUCCGCAGGACAGCGCUAACAUACUAAAAUACAAAACGACUGGAGAUUAAGUCAGACUGCAGACCGCCUGAGCGGCUGCACCUCUAGCAAGCUCUGAUAGUGGGUGCUGGCAGAACCGGGGACCCCCACAUUGGCUAAAAAAACCGCAAGGAUUCACCCUGCAUAGGUGGAGGUUCUGCACUAAGGCUCAGGACUCGGUGAGGCUGAGAAAUUAGCAGCCCUGGUUCAGAACUAAGCGUGUGAGUCCACUCUUCUUUCAACCCCCCCCCCCCAGCUCCUCUCUCCCUGACAGCUGCAGAGAAGCAGAGCCAGCAGAAGGUCUGACUCCCCCUAUGUUCUCAGCAGCAGCAGCAGCAGCAGCAGCAGCAGCAGCAGCAGCAGCAGCAGCAGCAGCAGCAGUCAGGGCCUGUUGAAAAUGAGGAAGGGCAGAGCUUCGGUAGGACUGCCCCAGUCCUUCAUCAGACCAGCCUAUUGUUGCCUGUCAUCGUGGCUUCCUCCCAAGAGCUUUUCCUUGAUGCUGGGUUUACAUCUGCCUGACGUGUAGGUCUGCAGACCCUAAAUGAAAGAGUAUCUGCUUUGGAAAGGGUUGCUCUCUUGGGAAAGGGCGACGGGAGAAAAUGGACUCCCCUGCGCUCGGCCCUCCAGAGAUGGCACCCAGCCCCUGUGAUAAAUGACAGCAUUAACAAGGCUUGGUUGAGAGGGGACCUGCAGAUUUACGACUUCCUGUGUCGGCCAGCAGAUGUCAUUAUGGCUGACAGAACAGGAGCCCUUUCAAGAGCUAGCUGGGGGCGGGGCUAAGGAGAGAAAAAUUUGAAAAAGGCAGAAGCCUAAACUACCGGUUCCAGGGGUGCUGCUGUCAUGGGGGAGGGGGGUGGAGGGGAGAGGACCCGAAUUUGAACAGGAAAUCAGAAAGCUUGCAGAAUCUCUGAACUAGUGUUGCUGAGGAUUAGGCACAGACCCUCAAAUAAAAGACAGCACGAUUGGCUUUCCUCAAGUAAGAAACCCUUUAGAGUUUUGUUGUCAGUCCGUGUGUAUGUGCAAACAUUCUCUGAGAUAAAAAUGAGCACUCUGUGCUGAGCAAACAGAUAUUUCACUCUGAGACAUCACUUGGACAAGCCUUUAAAUAUAUCCACUCUAUGAAUUCAGCAGCCCUUUCUGAGCAAACCUUAAGAUGCUUAUAAUUUUACCCAUUUAAUUUUAUUUUUAACAUUAUUUGUGUUGACUCUUUGUGAAUUUUAUAUCAUGCACUCACUCCACUCCCACUCAUUUUCCAGCCCUUCCAUAUCCUCCUGUUCCCCUUGUGACAUCAACAAAAUAAAUUAAAAUAAAACAAAAUAAAUAAUAAAAUAAAUAAUAAAAUAAAACAAAAAAAAUAAUAAAAUAAAACAAAUCUCUCUGUGGAAACUGGAGAGACAUAGCGUGUCACACACGAUACCCUUUUGCCCAAACAGCCUUACUUGCAAAUGUUUGUUGCAAGGAGUCAUUGGUCUGGUUUUGGGUCCUCUGGCUUCUGCUAGACCAUCAGCACUAUAUUUUUGCCAGGACUUCUCUAUAUCUUGUUGUUGCCCUUAUGUCAUGGAGAUCCUGCAGCUUUGGAUCCGCAGGACUGGCCCUUCACUUGCUCCCGCAGCGCAUAGAUGGGGUAGAUUCUGGGGUGGCUCAGCCCUGGAUCUGGGCUUGGAUGGUAGCCGAAUUGGUCAGCCUGUCAGCUCUCCAGGGCCCACACAACUGGUGCCAGUUCUGCCCCAACUCUCUCUGCCCAGGUGACAGAGGGGUGGGGCUGGCUCUCCUACACCCACAUCACAGUUGGUGCCACCACCAUGCAGGGACAGCUGAGGAGGUGAAUUCAGUGCAAACUCAUUUAUCAUCAUGGCCCCCAGCAGCAGCCAGGACCAUAGACAUCCAAAUGGCCAUUGGUGGUAAUAUGGGCCAUGGACAUUGACACAGACCCUUGCUGCAGCAGGGUCAUGAGCCCCGGUAUGGCCCUCGCUGGCCUCACAGGCCAGGCCAUCACGAUGGCCUCAGGUGGCACUGCAGGCCUCUCAUAUCAGGCUGUUCCUCUCCUCCUUCGGUUCUCCAGUUCCUCCUCUCUUCCCAGCACAUAAUCGUUUCCACUUCUCUUUUCUCUCCUCUCUACUCCGUACUUGCUCAUUGUAUCGACAACUGGCUGCCCUCUCACCUGUGCCUAGAGGUGGCAGUUGGGCCUCUAACUUUACCCAUGUUAAAUAAACAAUGAUUGUUAUAGGA